This 402-nucleotide long non-coding RNA is filed under the name Prunus dulcis (almond). Its description in RNAcentral is "sRNA ncRNA". Lineage: Eukaryota; Viridiplantae; Streptophyta; Magnoliopsida; Rosales; Rosaceae. The record is from RNAcentral.
AUGGCUAAGCUACUCAGUCAUCCACUGUUUUAUCCCAUCCUCUUUCUCUUCCUCUUUAUCUUUCUUGCAUCAACCGGUAUGCCGUAAUCAUCUUAUUCCAAAAAAAUUAUCCGUGCAUAUAUUAUUCCUUUCUUUCGUCAACUCGUGUCUGUUUUGGGGUGUGGGUGUGAUUUGAUUCAUGCUCAAAUUCUUACAAUGUUAGCAUUUGUUUAUGACUCGUGAGAUGCAGAAGUAGCAAUGGUGGAAGCAAGAAUCUGUCAAAGGCGUAGUAAAACAUGGUCAGGGUUUUGUGGGAACACUGGAAACUGCAACCGUCAAUGCAGGAACUGGGAAGGUGCUUUGCGUGGAGCUUGCCACGCUCAAUCCCCAGGGUUUGCAUGCUUCUGCUACUUUAGAUGUUGA